AAAUUGAAUAGCAACAGUAUAUUAAACACUUUGGUUAAACCAAUCACAUCCUCUUGUUAAUGAAACCACAAGUUUCUGUUAAGAGAAAAAACAUACAUAUAUAUAUAUCUCGGCUCGGGCUGUUGGCGUGGCAGCUGGGGCAACUAAAAGUAGAUUUUCAUCCAAGUCCUCCAAAUUCUACACUUAGAUCAAAGUACGCUCAACCCUAUUCUAUAAGGCAUCAGUAGACAUAAAUUCUCAAGAUCAGAUGACCCUAUGCAUAUAAUUUUACCAAGUCCAACGACCACGAAAACAACUUCAAACCAAAAGAUGAUGUGACCAACAUGGCAACUGCGAAUUUACAAAGUGACCAACAAUAUAAAUAAUA
RNAcentral lists this unclassified non-coding RNA (367 nucleotides) under Hevea brasiliensis (rubber tree). Lineage: Eukaryota; Viridiplantae; Streptophyta; Magnoliopsida; Malpighiales; Euphorbiaceae. The record is from RNAcentral.